UGCCCUCAAGAGUUUUUGGGAGGC
This 24-nucleotide non-coding RNA is filed under the name Rattus norvegicus (Norway rat). The record is from RNAcentral. Lineage: Eukaryota; Metazoa; Chordata; Mammalia; Rodentia; Muridae.